RNAcentral lists this ribosomal RNA (385 nucleotides) under uncultured bacterium. RNAcentral's name for it is "bacterial SSU rRNA". It matches the Rfam family "Bacterial small subunit ribosomal RNA", at positions 29 to 416 of the family's 1533-position model. The record is from RNAcentral.
AUUGAACGCUGGCGGCAUGCCUUACACAUGCAAGUCGAACGGUAACGCGGGGCAACCUGGCGACGAGUGGCGAACGGGUGAGUAAUACAUCGGAACGUGCCCAGUAGUGGGGGAUAGCCCGGCGAAAAGCCGGAUUAAUACCGCAUACGACCUACGGGUGAAAGCGGGGGAUCGCAAGACCUCGCGCUAUUGGAGCGGCCGAUGUCAGAUUAGGUAGUUGGUGGGGUAAAGGCCUACCAAGCCUACGAUCUGUAGCUGGUCUGAGAGGACGACCAGCCACACUGGGACUGAGACACGGCCCAGACUCCUACGGGAGGCAGCAGUGGGGAAUUUUGGACAAUGGGCGCAAGCCUGAUCCAGCCAUGCCGCGUGCGGGAAGAAGGCC